Molecule: ribosomal RNA, 253 nt
Filed under: uncultured bacterium
Lineage: Bacteria
Description: partial 16S ribosomal RNA
Rfam family: Bacterial small subunit ribosomal RNA
Source: RNAcentral
GACAGAGGUGGCAAGCGUUGUUCGGAUUUAUUGGGUGUAAAGGGCAGGUAGGUUGUUAUGCAAGUCUGGUGUGAAAGCCCACGGCUCAACCGUGGAAUGGCAUUGGAAACUGCAUGACUUGAGUACCGGAGAGGUGAAGGGAAUUCUCGGUGUAAGGGUGAAAUCUGUAGAUAUCGAGAGGAACACCAGUGGCGAAGGCGCUUCACUGGCCGGUUACUGACACUGAGCUGCGAAAGCAAGGGGAGCAAACAGG